UAAUACGGAGGGGGCGAGCGUUGUUCGGAAUCAUUGGGCGUAAAGGGCGCGUAGGCGGCCGUCCAAGUCGGGUGUGAAAUCCCUCGGCUCAACCGAGGAACUGCACUCGAUACUGGUCGGCUAGAGUCCGGGAGGGGAUGGUGGAAUUCCCAGUGUAGCGGUGAAAUGCGUAGAUAUUGGGAAGAACACCGGUGGCGAAGGCGGCCAUCUGGACCGGAACUGACGCUGAGGCGCGAAAGCCAGGGGAGCGAAUGGGAUUAGAUACCCCGGUAGUCCUGGCUGUAAACGAUGGGCACUUGGUGUGGCGGGUACUGACCCCCGCCGUGCCGAAGCUAACGCGUUAAGUGCCCCGCCUGGGGAGUACGGUCGCAAGGCUG
This 377-nucleotide ribosomal RNA is filed under the name uncultured bacterium. Its description in RNAcentral is "bacterial SSU rRNA". It matches the Rfam family "Bacterial small subunit ribosomal RNA", at positions 521 to 896 of the family's 1533-position model. The record is from RNAcentral.